RNAcentral lists this ribosomal RNA (622 nucleotides) under uncultured Stichotrichia. RNAcentral's name for it is "partial Bacterial large subunit ribosomal RNA". It matches the Rfam family "Bacterial large subunit ribosomal RNA", at positions 1 to 651 of the family's 2925-position model. Lineage: Eukaryota; Ciliophora; Spirotrichea. The record is from RNAcentral.
GAGAAGGGCGUUUGGUGGAUGCCUUGGCAGUAAGAGGCGAUGAAAGACGUGAUACCCUGCGAUAAGCUUGGGGGAGCCGGGAAUAGGCUUUGAUCCCAAGAUCUCUGAAUGGGGGAACCCACCUGAAAGUUUGAUAUAACAGCCGCAAGGCUGCCUAUAUCCUGCUUAACCAGGUACUUAUGGACUGAAUACAUAGGUCUAUAAGAGCAAACCCGGGGAACUGAAACAUCUAAGUACCCGGAGGAAAGGACAUCAAUAGAGACUCCGUUAGUAGCGGCGAGCGAACGCGGACCAGCCGAGCCUGAUGAGUGAGAAGAACAUGUUGGGAAACAUGGCCAUAGCGGGUGACAGCCCCGUAUUCUAAGCUCUGAGGGACGUAUUAAGUAGGGCGGGACACGUGAAAUCCUGUUCGAAGAUCGGAGGACCACCUCCGAAGGCUAAGUACUCCUUACUGACCGAUAGCGAACCAGUACCGUGAGGGAAAGGUGAAAAGCACCCCGGCGAGGGGAGUGAAACAGUACCUGAAACCGAACGCCUACAAUCAGUUGGAGGCCCCUUGAGGGCUGACAGCGUACCUUUUGUAUAAUGGGUCAGCGACUUAAUCUAGCAAGCAAGCUUAAAC